UCACGCUGUAAACGAUGUCGAUUUGGAGUUUGUUGCCUAGAGUGAUGGGCUCCGAAGCUAACGCGAUAAAUCGACCGCUGGGGAGUACGGCCGCAAGGUUAAAACUCAAAUGAAUUGACGGGGGCCCGCACAGCGGUGGAGCAUGUGGUUUAAUUCGAUGCAACGCGAGGAACCUUACCUGGUCUUGACAUCCAUAGAAUUCUGCAGAGAUGUGGGAGUGCCUUCGGGAACUAUGAGACAGGUGCUGCAUGGCUGUCGUCAGCUCGUGUUGUGAAAUGUUGGGUUAAGUCCCGCAACGAGCGCAACCCUUAUUCUUUGUUGCCAGCGAUUUGGUCGGGAACUCAAAGGAGACUGCCGUUGAUAAAGCGGAGGAAGGUGGGGACGACGUCAAGUCAUCAUGGCCCUUACGACCAGGGCUACACACGUGCUACAAUGGCGUAUACAAAGGGAAGCGAAGGUGCGAGCUGGAGCGGAUCUCAUAAAGUACGUCUAAGUUCGGAUUGGAGUCUGCAACUCGACUCCAUGAAGUCGGAAUCGCUAGUAAUCGUAGAUCAGAAUGCUACGGUGAAUACGUUCCCGGGCCUUGUACACACCGCCCGUCACACCAUGGGAGUGGGUUGCACCAGAAGUAGAUAGCUUAACCGCGAGGGGGGCGUUUACCACGGUGUGAUUCAUGACUGGGGUGAAGUCGUAACAAGGUAACCA
This 705-nucleotide ribosomal RNA is filed under the name uncultured Enterobacteriaceae bacterium. Its description in RNAcentral is "bacterial SSU rRNA". It matches the Rfam family "Bacterial small subunit ribosomal RNA", at positions 795 to 1502 of the family's 1533-position model. Lineage: Bacteria; Pseudomonadati; Pseudomonadota; Gammaproteobacteria; Enterobacterales; Enterobacteriaceae. The record is from RNAcentral.